UACGUAGGGUGCAAGCGUUAAUCGGAAUUACUGGGCGUAAAGCGCGCGCAGGCGGCUUUGUAAGUUAGAGGUGAAAGCCCGGGGCUCAACUCCGGAAUUGCCUUUAAGACUGCAUCGCUAGAAUUGUGGAGAGGUAAGUGGAAUUCCGAGUGUAGAGGUGAAAUUCGUAGAUAUUCGGAAGAACACCAGUGGCGAAGGCGACUUACUGGACACAUAUUGACGCUGAGGUGCGAAAGCGUGGGGAGCAAACAGG
RNAcentral lists this ribosomal RNA (253 nucleotides) under uncultured bacterium. RNAcentral's name for it is "partial 16S ribosomal RNA". It matches the Rfam family "Bacterial small subunit ribosomal RNA", at positions 524 to 776 of the family's 1533-position model. The record is from RNAcentral.